UCCUCGGCAGCCCCUCCCAGAAGUGGGGUAGGUGAAGGCAGGUUGGCGUGGGUGGAGAGGUGGGGCAUUUUUUAGUAGCUCUCUCAAUGGAAGAUGCGCUCCAAGUCUUGCAAAAGGAUAGGGAGGUGGCCCAGGCCCGGGAGUGCGCAUGUAAGGGUUGAGGAGAAGGCCUGCGACGACGGAGGAGGGGUGAGGGCUGAGAGAGAGGAUCGCCUUUUUGGUUCUGUUCAAGGUGUUGGGGUUGCUUCUCAGAGGGGUCAGAGCCGCAACUCAGUGGCCACGGGGCCUUGGAGACAAGCGCUCACCCCUCCCUUUCUCCUCCUCAGACCUGCGGGCUUUUGUUAUGCAGAUGGCGGCGGGAGGCUGAGCCAGAGAAGGAGGGGUUGCUGGGGAAGGAGGAGACGGAGAAGGGGAGGGAGGAAAGUACAGCUCGCGCGACCAGCCUCCCUUUUCAACGUCACAUUGUGCAAGAGACAAAACCCGGGCGCGCCGGAGCUCACACGCGCACGCACGGCAGACGCCCCGGUCGCCUCCUCUCGGUUCUCUGCGCGGUAGAGAAAGCCGGCCCAGCUUUGCUUUGCGGAGGACGCGGAGCUCAGCCUGCUCCCACCGCAGCUCAGAACCAAGCCAAGAGGUGAACCCAGCCGGUGGACCACCUUCUUUCUCCGCUGCCUGCCUAGACCAGAGACGUCCCAUUCUAUCCCAUCCCCCGCUCUGAACUCCGAUCUCUCCCCACCCCACCCCUUGGGGGUUUCACGCGGACAGCGCCCCGGAGCCCAGGGCGUGUCAUCGGGUUUGGAAUCCACGUUUCAGCACUUCGGACAGCGCCCCGGGCUCUUGGGCUUUCAGGAUGGCGAGCCUGCAGCAAGGCGAGAAACAGCUGUUUGAGAAGUUCUGGAAAGGGACCUUCAAAGCAGUGGCCACUCCGCGUCCCGAGAGCAUCAUCGUCGCCAGUAUCACAGCCCGCAAGCCGAUGCCAAGGACAGAGACACAGAGCAGUCUCCUGCUCCCAGACCAGGACGGACCUUCAGAGAAGCUGGGCCAACGUCUGGCCACUGAGGCCCUUGGUACCAACAGCUGGGGAAGAGAGAAAGCCUGCAGGGAGCUGGGUCCUGCCAGAGCACACAGUGCCUCUCAAGACAGAGACCCGACACCACCACCUUCCUCCAGGGGGAAAAAGAAAAAGAAGAAAUCGACCAGGAAAAAGAGGAGGAGGUCCCCAUCGUACAGCCCCUCUCCAGUCAAGAAGAAGAAGAAGAAAAGCUCCAAGAAACAUAAGCGACACAGGUCUUUCUCCAAGAAAAGGAGACACAGUUCCUGCAGCCCUAAAAGCAAAAGACGGGAAGAGAAGAGGCACAAAAAACAAUCUCGAAGCCGGAAGUCUCACCGACAUAGACAUCACCGAUGCCCCUCAAGGUCCCAGAGCUCAGAACUGCGCUCCCCCAGCUGCGAGAGCAGGCACCGAGGUCGGUCUCCUGAGGAAGGGCGGAAAUCCCGCCGAACACAUUCCCGACGCUGCUCCAAGAACCACUGCAAGGUCAGCCCAGAGGCCCGGUCCAGCCACCUGCCCAGCCAGCCCCUCCAGAGGCUCGGCUUCCUGUCAGCCAGGGGUGUAAUCUCUGGGUCGGGGUCCACGGCUGAUCUCUUUAGCAAAUCGGCCAGCCCGCUCGCCGCCUCCCGAGGGCGCUCGCAGGAGUACGACUCGGGCAAUGACACGUCCUCGCCGCCCUCCACGCAAACCAGCUCGGCCAGGUCUCAGGGCCAGGAGAAGGGGAGCCCCGGUGGGGAGCUGAGCAAGAGCCGGGACCUCAACUGCGGCAACACUUCCGAUUCAGGGAACUCCUUCACCACAUCCUCCCCCCAGAACAAGGGGGCUGUCUUAGAGAAUGUCUCUCCCGCCUGCAGGAGCAGUGAGUCAAGAGGGUUUCAGUCUCCAUGUCUCCAGUGCGCAGAGGUGAAGAAGUCUAGUUUGGUCCCAUCCACAGCCCGGAGCUCCCCCAUUAAAGAGUGCUCCCGUAGCUCCUCCUACACCAGUACUCGGUCCUCCAGUCCCUCAUCCAGGUCUCCAAAUCCCAGAGCCUCCCCCGGGUCCACCCGGAGCCGGUCCACCUCCUCUGAAAAAAGGUCCUACUCUCGCUCUCCCAGCUAUUCUUCCAAGUCUGGCAAGAGGAGCCCACCUAGCAGAAGCUCCAGGUCUCGUCGAAGUCCGAGCUACUCCCGCUACAGCCCCAGCAGGGAACGGGACCCAAAGUAUGGUGAGAAGGAACCACAGCCCCGAGAACGUGCACGCAGGAGGCGAAGGUCCUACUCGCCUAUGAGGAAGCGCCGGAGAGACUCCCCAAGCCACUUGGAGGCCCGGAGGAUAACCAGUGCCCGCAAACGCCCCAUCCCCUACUACCGACCCAGCCCCUCCUCCUCCAGCAGCCUCAGCAGCGCCUCCUCCUGGUACAGCAGCAGCAGCAGCCGCUCUGCUAGCCGCAGUUACUCCCGGAGCCGGAGUCCCAGUCGGAACCGCAGCAGCCGAAGCCAGACCAGGAGCAGGACGCGGACCAGCCGCAGCUCCAGCUCCCGCAGCCUCAGCCUGGGCUCCCGGAGCCGCAGUCGGAACCGGAGCCUGAGCUACAGCUCAGCAGAAAGCUAUGCCAGCACGAGGCGUUAAGCGAAGGCCCUCCGUCGAGCCAGCUGCCCUCCGGGAAGACCCCUCUGUCCACCGGGAGGACCCCCCUCUGUACUCUGCAGUCUCCUUUACUACCUGCCCUUCAGACCAUCUCCUGAGUGACAGAUACAGAAUGCUCCUGGCUCCUGUCCUCUCAUGUCCUGGGAAGAUGGCAUGGGAGACAGGGACUUCUAUUCCUUUGCCAAGCUGCUAGGAGCCUCUCUACCAGCACCAUCCUGGGGCUCACCGGGGCAGAUAGGGAGGGCCAACUGUGGAUCCAUGACUCAAAAGUUUGGGCCUGGCCAAGAUAUGGAGAUGGCUCUGUUCCAGUCAUCUACUGUUCACAGGGCAUCUCCUAGAGGCCAGGGUUAAUCCACCCUCACCCACACCACCCACCUUCCUCCCUUAUUCUGUCUCAUGGCUGCAAAGUUUGGAACCAGUGUUGGGAAAAGAGGAGAUCAAGGGUGGUUGAAAUUCAAGAUAAGAGCUCAGAGCUUUUACCUCCAGCUCCUGGGUCCUGCUAGGAGAGGUCAGACACGAGCAUGGGAGGAGGAUGUUAGUGUUGGUGGCAAUAGGUUUCAGGGAAGUUUGGAAAUGGUCUCUCUAUAAGUAUAACUUCAAAGAGACGGGUCAACUGCCUUCCUAGUAGGUCAGCAUCAUCAAGGAAGGAAGCCCAGCAGGUUCCAGCUUUAUGGAGGCCCUUACACAGGGUCCUGUGACAUCACAGGGGUACUAAGGAGACAGUGGAACCGUCCACAUACCUUGGGCUACAGCCCUACUUCCCAAAUUUGCCUCAUCCCCAGGAGCUGGCACAAAUUUGAUUCCACGGGACCAUCUGUUGAGCAUUCUCAGUGCUGUGGCCAGCAGCCAGCCCCCAGCGCCAGCCAGUCUGCCCUUGCCCUCCAGUUGGCGCCUGCCAGCCCCCUCCACAUUGCCCAGACUGCCACACCCUGGAUUCUACCCAGGGCAUCCUGGCACCUGCUGUCCUACAUGAAGACCACUCUCUUUUCCUCUCAGGAAUUUUGCCGAGACAGGGCACUGCAUUGUAAAUCAGUGUUGUUGGGGGGAAGACUCAGAUUCAGAGAGUCUGUGACAGAGGGACUUGAAUGGUCCCUGUCUCAGGCUCCUGCUAGCUUCUGAGUUUGUGGUCAGCAUAGGGAAGCCCAAUUGCACUUAAGGAGUACCACGCAUAGGAAGGGUAUAGAAGUACCCUCCCGCCCAAGGCUGGCCAGCAAGAGUAAGCUGCCUUCUGACACAUAAAUGCCACCAGCUGCUUUGCCUGCAGAAGAUAUUGGGAACAGGCAGGCAAGAGAGAUGGUCCUUAAAAUAAACCCUUGGGCAUCCCCCUCACCAGCUGCCUGGCUCUCUGAGCCAUGUGGGUAUCAAGUUUGUGAUGACAACAGUUGAGCAGAGCCAGGGCACAUGGAGAAAGAGCUUCUCUCCCAGCUUUGGAUAGUGGCAAGGACAGACAGCAUUACCUAUCCUUCUUGCCUCAAGAAAAACAUAUGGGGGGGGUGGGAGGGUGGGAAUUUCCAUCAUAAAAGCAGUGAUCUCCCCAUACCAAUCUUUCCCAGCCUAUCAUGGUGCCUGGGGGUCCAGUGAGCACCAGAGAAGUUCAUCGUCCAUCAGGAGAGGAGGAGGAUCAGUGACUGUAUCAUGGCUUCUGGCCCAGACCAACACUCCACUAACACAAACUUGUGGAUGCCUAUGCAGACACCACGGGAGGCCAGAUGGAUGCCAACCAAGUCAACGAAGCCUCAUCUUUUUCACGGAGACAAAGGCUUCCAGGAGCCACAAAACCCUUCCCAGCAGGACAGCUUGUGAAGGCAGGAGCCUGCCCGGAAGACACAGACUAUCUCCGUUCAAACCACUCUAGGGGGACCGUUUUGCCCGGGGCUCCUAGCAAACUUUUUAUUUAUUAGAUUUAUUUAUUUUUUAUUUAUUUAUUAUUUAUGUGAUGAGCUCUCUUUCCUCACCAUUAGCGGCAUUUCAUUAUUUAUUUGUGUAUUUAUUCCGAGAGAUUGUGUACUUUUUUUUUUUUUUUUUUGGUUCUUUUUUUCGGAGCUGGGGACCGAACCCAGGGCCUUGCACUUCCUAGGUAAGCGCUCUACCACUGAGCUAAAUCCCCAGCCCCGAGAUUGUGUACCUUAAUAUGUGGUCAUGCGUGUAUUUGGUGGAAUCUUCUAAAUUAUUUGUGUAUCUCUCUUUUUUUUAACCUGUUGCUAUGGCUGCAAUGGGAGAGGCCAGAGGCAUCUUGGUCUUUUUCAUGAAUGCUCUAAGCCCUCAAUAUGCUGGGGUGGACCCAGAAGUGUACCCAUCCCAAAGCUUAUAUCAUUUAGGUUGAUGUCAGUGAGGUUUGGGCCUGUGCCUCAACCCCAUGUACACCUGCUUCACUGCUAGCAUAGAGAUAACAGAAAGAUGAAGUCAGCCACAGAGCUCAUGAUCCUCAAUUCAGGGCUGGAGCCUGACAUUAGCGGGUAAAGCUACACACAGUUUAAAGAGCUGUGAAGGACUCUUUGAAUGAUUGCCUACAGUCAGAGUAUUAUGUCUUGUCCAGAUGGCCAGUCUCCUACGGCAUGCAUGAUAGAGCCAUUCCCUUGUGGUUGGAGAACCUCGAGGGUAAGAAUAGUUUGAUACUAGCAUUGCUCUUGGAGACAAAGUAUCAUUCUGAUGAGACAAAGUAUUCUGAUGAUGUUUGACUGAUACUCAUAUCCCGAAGGAAAGGCAAGAAUCUCAAUGUCAGCAGAAGGGAUCCAAUCCUUUUUAUGAGCAGAACCGAUUGGUUUCCUGUAAGUUACACCUACCUGCUUCUCCUUCACAUCUAGCUUUGAGAUCAGAAAGUUUACCUGCGUUGUCUGUGGUAGGCAAACACUGUUCUGUGAAGAGGGCACGGGCCGUCCUGGGGGAAACCUGCCACCCAAAUCAAACCUCCUUUUGCUAUGAUCAUCAGCUGUUCCAUUAGGGACAGCACAAAGCUACUUCUGAAACUAGAAAAUAAAAUACAGACAGAGGGUGACAGCCAGAUGUCCUCCCAAAAGGUCACUUCUAAGCUCAUGCUGCGAUCUAAGACCUAGAGACCUUUCUCAGUCCUGUCCUAACCAACUGGCAGUGACUUUCUGCCUGCUGGCUACAGAGAGCUCUUGCCCUUUCAGAAGUCAUUCUCCAGGGCCUUGGGAGUGCCAGAUUGCCUGGUCCAGCUGUGGGUUCUCCAGCACAUCCCUGACUCUUCCCAUCAACAUGGCAGCCAUGCUUUCAGCCAAGGGAUAUUCUUCCCUUGGGAACAGUUUUCAGAAGGUUCUUUAGAUACCUCUAAGGCUAAAAUACACGGCUCUCCUGCUUCUCCCUCCCCCUUCUCCCCUUCCCCCUCCUCUUCCUUCUCUCCCUUUCCUCUCCCCCUCCUCCCCCUCCCUCCUCCUGCCCCUUCCCCUCCUUCUUCCUUCAUUCUCAUCCCCCAUUCCCUUUCUCCUCUAUACUGCUUAUCUUUCCAAGCAAACAUAGAACUCUUUGCAGGACACUGAUAAACUUGGUUAAGUAGAGCCACCACACUCAGGUGUAUCCACUCACUGUACUCUCAUAACUUUCUGCUCCUAGAGAAUACCACCACUUGAAAGUGGGUUGUAGCUGUGUUUGUACAGCAACUAGCAUUCUGUGUGGCAUUGGCUAUUAAGGGUGAAGGCUUAGUUCAACCACCCACAUCCAAAAUGGGUAGAGCUUUAGACCGAGGUGAAGCAACAGGUUGCCAGUGCUCCUUGACCUUCUGUGCUGGGCGAGCUCUACAGGAGUGAAAUGGGGCUAAGUGUUACCUUGUUGUGGGCCAUUGUUCCCACCAAGUGAGGUGGAGUAGUUGACAAAUAUUUCCAGACUGAGAUGUGAGAGAGGCAACAAACAAAAUAGGUAUCCUGGAGACUCAGGGAGGAGAAGAAUCUUGAAAUGCUGCAAGGAGGCUCCCAUUCUCGAGAAGAAGCUAAAAAUAGCACCUGAAUUCCUAACCCGGGGUUGCCAGCAAAGACCAUUCAUGUCCACCCAAGUUGGGACACAUUCCAGACUCUCCUUGAGACCUCCUUUGGGGUGACUCAGUUUUUCAGGAGUAGAACACAAUGGAACUGUUGGAAAGGGAUUUGGGUCUCGGUCUCAGAGAGCCCCAAUCCCUACAUUUCUUUGAUCUAGUCUCUCUCCCAAAAGGGUUUGCUUGAAGAUUUGGGAUGCUACCAAAGGUUGAAGAAAGCAGUGAGUUUUGUCUUUCUGGAAGCUGACUUCCAACGUUGGCUGUGUUUGUUUGUUUGUUUGUUUGUUUGAUUGUUUUCUGCUGCGUUUUCCUCCAUGGUGCCAGGGGUAGGUGCAAGACCUCAUGCACAUUAGACAAGGAUUCUGGCAAUCGCACCACACCCUCAGUCCUGUACUAGAUUCCCUUGCCCUCACCCUCUUCUGUGUAUAUUCUGAAUAGUCUCAUGGGUACCUGUGCCCCAUCUUGGUUUUCCCUCUGCUGAGGAGAAAAAUUUUUUGGGUGACGUAUGACACCACCACCAGAACCAGAGACACUCUGGCCAAACACAACAUCAUUGGACAACACUUUUAAGAAUGCUACGCCUUCUCCGUUCUGCACUGAUGAGCCAAUGAUAGUGACAACAUGACACAUGACAUCCCUCUGUCCUUAACUUUUAUUUCUGUUUGUGUAUUUGGGUGGUUUUUUUUUGUUGUUGUUUUGGUUUGGUUUUGGUUUUUGGUUUUUAGCUUUUUGUUUUGUUUUGUUUUGUUUCAUUACUCAGUUCUGUUUUGGUGUCGUGGUUUUGUUCUCUCUUUUUUGGCAGUUGUCAUUUUGCACUGUAAAUACCAUGAUGUGAGCUUGUCCUCAGAACAUGGCUUACUUAAUAAUUUAUUAUCUCCUAUUUAUUGAGUGGUAUUGGGAAGUGAGGGGGACCAGCCCUCCUGCUGGGUUGCUAUUGGAAACCCAUCCAUCUCUCAGCUCUGGGUGCUGCUGUCUGUGGUGGGGAAUUAUCACCCAGGUAAUGAGUGCUAGACUUACCAGAUGAAUUGGAACUGCAGAAACAGAGGCUUCUGUCAUACAAAUUAAGUCCAAAUGGAGCUAAAACACUAGUUCUCUUUGGAAAACCUCAUUUAGAUGGAAAUUAAUUGAGGAACUCAAAUGCCUGUACUCGAACCAACUUCUAUUAAAAAGUCACAACUGAAA
Rattus norvegicus (Norway rat) is the source of this 7844-nucleotide non-coding RNA. The record is from RefSeq and is a predicted model, not a curated record. Lineage: Eukaryota; Metazoa; Chordata; Mammalia; Rodentia; Muridae.